AAGCCUGACAGUUUAAGAAGUGUUUGGACAAAACUCUUAGGGUAUGACUCUUGGGCUGCCCUAUGCAGGGCCAAGAGUUGGAGUCAAUGGUCCUUGUGGGUCCCUUCUAACUUAGGAUAUUUUAUGAUUCCACAAUAAAAAUUUUUUGGGCCUUAAUUUAAAAUACAGAUGGAUUAUACAGCAGAGUUAAAGAAGUGAAACAAGACCACGGAACUUCAGGAUAGGGGGCAGAGCAGCUUCAGCAGAAGGGUGUGAGAGCUCCCCUUCUCCAGGGCAGAGCAGUCCAGAGACCACACUGCAGAACUGUGGCAACAUGGACAUGAAGCUCCUGAAAAAGAAGGUGUUGUGACCUUUCUGUGAUACCACAAGCACUGUGUGCAGUUACAGGAACAUCACAGCUACUGGAAUGGGGGUCAUGGCCAGGUAACUGCCAGCUGCUGUUGGAAAUGCAUGCUCAGAGCUCCAGGAUGUGUGACUGGCUGUGAUACAUUAAUGGGAGAAGGGUAGACUUCUUGUGGAGAAAGAGCUUCGCUCCAUAGGACAGCUCCCUCCAGAAGUGGACAAGCAAGUGAACAAACAGCUUGUGGUACAUCAUCAUGAUUGCCACUUAAACGUGAGAAAAGCAGGUUUUCUGCAAGUGUUUCAACUGUUAAGCAAUUUCCACUUGCAAAUAUGCCCAGGCACUCUUCAUCAUGACCGGGAGAUUAUAGGUUUUCAAACCAAACACUGGAUUGUUUGCUCUGUUAUAUCUAGAUUGGAGACAGAUCAAAAGCAAGGUGGACUUUGAAUGGGUAUUAAGAUAUAAAGAUUUCAAGUUUUGUUUCACUCUUCAAUGUGUUCUAAGUAUUUCUGAAGAGUUUUCUGACAAGAUUUGCAAUAUCAUAACUUGGGAGGAAGCCUAGUUUCUGUAGAGCUGUCCCUGGCUUUUUCUGGGCUAAAGGCAAACCAAGCAAUAAUGUGCCAAAACUACUCUGCCUUUGAACCCAAAGCUGAUUAUCUUGUAACUGAGGCCAAAAUAAGGGAAAGGGGACUAGAGAGGCUUUAGCAUUGAAAACUUGGUUCAAGUUCUUCUGCUGCUACAGUCUUAAUUUGUAACAAUUAAAUGUGGUUUCUAUUUCUGAUUUUGUUUCUGCAUUUGUAGAAGCAAAAAAAAAAUUCUUACUGUCUUGACACCAGAUAAAAUCUACCAAGGUUCAUGACAUACCCAAAUGCCAUGUACAGAAGGCCUACAUUUGUACACUUUCAUCUACUUCACUGCCCCUGACAAAAACAGUGACAUUAAUUACUGUCAUUUUACUAAUAUUAUUUGGGUUCCAAAAUUAGCUGUUGACUUUGUGCAGCACCAUAUUUACUUAGAAGUGAUACUUCCCUUCAAUGCAGAGAAAUCAAAAGCACAAGUUCUCCUUUUCAACUCACUUUCCUCUUUAUAAUGUGUCACAGCACAAACAUUGUGUGUGAAAAAGAGAACUAAGUCAGGCCAUGCAAUUUUACUGUUUGGUGCUCCUUAUGUAGCUAUUGCUUAGUAGUUUCCAUAGCUAAUGCUUGUCUUUUCUUUUGGAUCUUGAGAACACUACCAUGACAAUCCCUAAGAGAGAUACAGCUGCUAUGAAACAUAUGUCUUGUCUAGAAAAGCUGCAUGUGAGUUAAAGAGAAUCCAUAGAACAGGAAGGGAAGUCAUGCAGUAAAAUGAAGUAGUGAACUGCUGGUGUCUAUAUAUUGUACAGCUUGAAUCAUUAUAAUCAGAAAACAGGGAAAUUUGUUAAAUAGACUUUCCAGUCUAAGAGAAAUCGCUGAACCAGCAGUACCUCAAAGACCUUCACCCUGGAUAGAAGGAAUCCCAAACAAAAAUUCUGCUAUGGAAACCAAUUUUUGGCCAGAGAGGCCAAAGACAGUAGAUAACUGGAAAACCAGAGCUCAGAUACAGAGCCAACAUGAAAUGAUUUUUCAAGGAAGCACAGUUUCUUGUUCAUAAUACAGUAUUGAAAUCUGCAGGGACUUUGUAGCAACGUCCAUGAGCAUUAGAGAACAUGGCUCCCAGUGAAUAAACACCAGCUCCAUUCCUGAGCUGUGCAAAGCAGAACUGCAGGAACAUGAUUUGGGUAAGUCUCAGGAUCCUUUGGUUACCAAUGUUGUGCCUUCCAUCAUGCAUACACACACAGGAUUUCCUCAGCAGCUCCACCAAGGCUUGCAGCUCUUAAUGCAAAUCUUUCUAUGUCUAUCAUGAAACUGACUUCCUGUAGGAAAGUAAAACUGUGAUAUUUUGGAAGAUAUUCUGAACAUAAAAGCUCAGUUUUUUAGAUUUCAGGGGUGGGGGUUUCUCUCUAAAGCUUGUUUUAAAAGCUGUCUGAUCAAACCUUUUCAUUACUUGCUCACUUCAGAAACUAGCUGUGCUUCAAAGUCCACCAGCAUCCUUCCACACCUACAUUUCUAGUAUCACCUACCAUAUUUCUUCCUAAAUGCUAUGACAAGCCUCAGUAAUGCAGUAUGAAACACUGCAGGUGAGACACACCAAAAUAACACACUGAAAUGCUGCUGAUCACACCUGCAGCUUACUCAGAAGGUCAUUUUUUAAGUGAAGUUAGGAAUUCAAAAGGUUCAGAAUUCCCAGUCUAGUAGAUUCAAAGACAGAUUAUGGCCUAAAAUAUUUGUGGUCAUUCAAAAUCUCACCAGUCUUUGCACAAGCAUUCUCAGAGAGCUGAUGGACCGAGACUCAAAAGGAGAGAAAGACUGAACCUAUAGACUCAUUUGCAUGAGAAGUGAGAGAAUCUUUUAACUAAUAGAAGAUAGAAUACUAAUCAAUAUGAAAGCUAUGUAACUUGUAGCCAAGGAACAUUCAUGCCUUUUUUUGCCAAAAUAAAUAAUGAAAAGUUCUAAUACUGUGGUGCUGGUUUUCUGAGUUUGCCACCCAGCCUCCCUUUCUGCGCAGAACUGUAAAUAAAUCAAAUACCUUGACUCUGUGGGGAUUGGCCUCUCUCACACUGGAUGAAAAAGAAACAUUUUGGGACAGCAAAGGAUGAAAAUACAGGAGGAAAUCCUCAGGAUACAAAUUAAGGUAGUUCAUGUGGGGGCAAAAUACUGACCUAUAUCAUCACACACAUUCAAAUUAAGGCCAAGAAUUCAUAUGUUAAAUGUAGAAAACAAUAAAAAGUGGCAUGGUAUCAUUUAUUCUGGUGCUUCAAAUACACUGAGCAUGUUCUGUCUCCUGCUUUGGCAGUAGGAUAGUGUCCCAGUCAACAUCAAAGCAAAGAAGCUGAUGGUCACCUGAAAAGCUUAGGCAGUUCUCAGCUGUCUCACAGCCUCUUCUUUUCCAGUCUGCUUUUCCCUCAAAGACCACCUUUAUAGACUGCUCCACUAGAUAAACAAUGAUUUGUUCCUUUCUGCUCUUUCCAAGCAGCUAUGAGUGUGGUACAAAAAGUGGACAACCAGUCUUUGCUGCUUUCAUGAACUAGAAUUACAGUAAUAAAUUGAACCUUUGUUCCCCAAACUUUUGUUUUUGAUGU
This is a long non-coding RNA of Parus major (Great Tit), 3500 nucleotides long. RefSeq lists it as uncharacterized. The record is from RefSeq and is a predicted model, not a curated record. The transcript has 3 exons. Lineage: Eukaryota; Metazoa; Chordata; Aves; Passeriformes; Paridae.